GUCUCUGAUGAUGGUGCUGCUAUGCUCACUUUUGAAGCACUAUCUGAGACAUCUGAAUUUGCAAGAAAGUGGGUCCCUUUCUGCAAGAAGUUCAAAAUUGAACCUCGGGCUCCAGAAUGGUACUUUGCCCAGAAGGUUGACUAUUUGAAAGAUAAAGUAGAUCAUACAUUUGUUAGGGAACGCCGUGCCAUGAAGAGAGAAUAUGAAGAGUUCAAAGUUCGAAUAAAUGGAUUGGUUGCCAUGGCACAGAAGGUUCCUGAGGAUGGUUGGACAAUGCAGGAUGGGACCCCAUGGCCAGGGAAUAAUGUCAAGGAUCAUCCUGGAAUGAUACAGGUUUUCUUGGGCCAUAAUGGUGUUCAUGAUAUUGAAGGAAAUGAAUUGCCUCGUCUAGUUUAUGUGUCUCGUGAGAAGAGAGCAGGAUUUGAGCACCACAAAAAAGCUGGGGCAAUGAAUGCUUUGGUGAGGGUAUCUGCAAUCAUAACAAAUGCUCCAUAUCUACUGAAUGUUGACUGUGAUCACUAUAUAAACAACAGUAAGGCACUUCGUGAAGCCAUGUGCUUCAUGAUGGAUCCAAUAUCAGGAAAGAAAGUCUGUUAUGUACAAUUUCCUCAAAGGUUUGAUGGGAUUGAUCGUCAUGAUAGAUACUCCAAUCGCAAUGUUGUGUUCUUUGAUAUCAACAUGAAAGGAUUGGAUGGAAUCCAAGGACCUAUAUAUGUUGGUACUGGAUGUGUCUUCAGGAGACAAGCACUUUAUGGAUAUGAUGCUCCCAUCAAGAAGAAGCCACCAGGGAAGACAUGUAAUUGCUUGCCAAAAUGGUUGUGCUGCUGCUGCACAUCUAGAAAGAAGAAUAAGAAAGCAAAAUCAAAUGGGAAAAAGAAGAAGAACAACAAGGAGGCUUCCAAGCAGAUACAUGCAUUGGAAAAUAUUGAGGAGAGUAUUGAAGGAAUAGAUAAUGACAAAUCAGAGUCAAUGUCCCAAAAAAAAUUUGAGAAAAAAUUUGGUCAGUCACCAGUUUUUAUAGCUUCAACACUCAUGGAAGAGGGUGGACUUCCAAAAGAAGCAACUUCUGCAUCACUUUUGAAAGAAGCCAUUCAUGUCAUCAGCUGUGGUUAUGAAGACAAAACUGAAUGGGGGAAAGAGGUUGGGUGGAUAUAUGGCUCUGUUACUGAGGACAUAUUGACUGGCUUCAAGAUGCAUUGCCAUGGCUGGCGUUCAGUUUAUUGCAUACCAAGAAGGCCAGCAUUUAAGGGGUCAGCUCCAAUAAACCUUUCAGAUCGUCUACACCAGGUUCUACGGUGGGCACUAGGAUCUGUUGAGAUUCUGUUGAGUAGGCAUUGUCCGAUAUGGUAUGGGUAUGGGUGCGGCUUGAAACCGUUGGAGCGGUUUUCAUACAUAAAUUCAGUUGUUUAUCCGUUGACAUCAAUUCCCUUGGUCGCCUACUGUACAUUGCCAGCUAUUUGCCUCCUUACAGGGAAAUUCAUCGUCCCCGAGAUCAGUAACUAUGCAAGUCUCAUUUUCAUGGGCCUCUUCAUAUCCAUAGCAGCAACUAGUGUCCUUGAAAUGCAAUGGGGAGGAGUUGGCAUACACGACUGGUGGAGAAAUGAGCAGUUUUGGGUGAUUGGUGGCACCUCAUCCCACCUAUUUGCUUUAUUCCAGGGUCUGCUCAAGGUAUUGGCAGGUGUUAACACUAAUUUCACUGUUACUUCCAAAGCAGGAGAUGACGGAGAAUUUUCAGAGCUCUACCUAUUUAAAUGGACAUCUUUGUUGAUCCCUCCCAUGACCUUACUCAUCAUAAACAUUAUUGGAAUCAUAGUUGGAGUUGCAGAUGCCAUCAAUAAUGGUUAUGAUUCAUGGGGUCCACUAUUUGGUAAGCUAUUCUUUGCAGUCUGGGUCAUUGUCCAUCUUUACCCAUUCCUCAAGGGUUUGAUGGCCAAACAAGACAGGCUUCCCACCAUAAUUGUUGUGUGGUCAAUACUUGUAGCUUCAGUUUUCUCACUGGUGUGGGUACGAAUCAAUCCAUUUGUGUCAAGAGGUGGUAUUGUGUUAGAAGUUUGUGGGUUGGAUUGUGAUUAAGCCAUUAAAUCACAUUACAUGGAAUGUUAGAUUUUGGUUAAACGUAGAAAAGAUCAUUUUAGAAAAUGCAUAAGAAGCUACAUUCUUCAUCGAAGAUGAAAAACAUCUGGUGAGAAGGCACGAUUCUUCUCCAUAAGUUCUAGAGGAAAUGAAUAUCCUGGUGGGUGGGUGUGUAGAUAUAAGGGACUUAAGACAUAUUUUCUCCUGUUUUGCCUAGUUUCUGAAGAUUCUUUUGAUACAUGCGGAGUUCUUGAUUAUUAGACCUGUCUGUAAUAUGAGAGAACAUGCUUUAUUUAAUUUAUGCAUUCCCUUCUGAAUGAAGGCCGAAAUACAAAAUUGCCUUUCAUUAUGAGAACUAUCCAUCAUUUUGUUUUCUUCUUCUUAUUUGCUCUGAUUUAUGCUCUGCAGGAUUACUAUCUAAAAUGUGUUGAAAAUGGUGCAAUCUUCCUCUGCAAAGAGCUUAUGUACUGAUUUCAACAAUCAACAUUUUUUUAUACUUCAACCACUAAAAUAAUGCCAAGAGAUGAAUAACGAAGAACUAAGUACCGAGUAAUGCAUAACUCUAAUAGAGGAUACUCGCCCUAACAACAUCUGAGAAUACUCGGAUCGAUUGCGAGAUAUUCGCCAAAGGUCAGAUUUUCAUCUACAUGAGAUUCCCACGUGAAAAGAACUCUUGAUCCUGCUUAACUACAAACUCCUCCUGAAUUACAUCAAAAGUCCAACAUCCUAGACCCAAGAAGAAGAGAACAACAUCAAUUUUUUUUGGUGCAAUAACAAUCAACAUCGACCAUUUAGUUUUAACUUGCCCUUUAUUUGGAUGGGAGGGAAUAGUGAGAGAGA
This 2913-nucleotide unclassified non-coding RNA is filed under the name Hevea brasiliensis (rubber tree). The record is from RNAcentral. Lineage: Eukaryota; Viridiplantae; Streptophyta; Magnoliopsida; Malpighiales; Euphorbiaceae.